RNAcentral lists this ribosomal RNA (253 nucleotides) under uncultured bacterium. RNAcentral describes it as "partial 16S ribosomal RNA". It matches the Rfam family "Bacterial small subunit ribosomal RNA", at positions 524 to 776 of the family's 1533-position model. The record is from RNAcentral.
GACAGAGGGCCCAAGCGUUGUUCGGAUUCACUGGGCGUAAAGGGUGCGUAGGCGGUCGAAUAAGUCGGUUGUGAAAUCUCCAAGCUCAACUUGGAAAUGGCAACCGAAACUAUCCGGCUAGAGGAAUGGAGGGGAGACUGGAAUUCUCGGUGUAGCAGUGAAAUGCGUAGAUAUCGAGAGGAACACCGGUGGCGAAGGCGAGUCUCUGGGCAUUUCCUGACGCUGAGGUACGAAAGCCAGGGGAGCAAACGGG